GACGUAGGGCGCGAGCGUUGUCCGGAAUUAUUGGGCGUAAAGAGCUCGUAGGCGGCUUGUCGCGUCUGCCGUGAAAACUCGGGGCUCAACCCCGAGCUUGCAGUGGGUACGGGCAGACUAGAGUGCGGUAGGGGAGACUGGAAUUCCUGGUGUAGCGGUGGAAUGCGCAGAUAUCAGGAGGAACACCGGUGGCGAAGGCGGGUCUCUGGGCCGUAACUGACACUGAGGAGCGAAAGCAUGGGGAGCGAACAGG
Molecule: ribosomal RNA, 253 nt
Filed under: uncultured bacterium
Lineage: Bacteria
Description: partial 16S ribosomal RNA
Rfam family: Bacterial small subunit ribosomal RNA
Source: RNAcentral